CCCCGAGCAUCGGCGGGGGCUGCUCCCCGCGACGGGGCCCCCUCUGCUCCUAACGGCAUGGGCACCCGCGGACGCCUGCCCCCGCCCCUAAACUAUCACACCUUAAAUGUAGUCCCGUCCCCUCGAGGGCUGACGGGGAGGGCUGAGCCGGCCGCGCACAGCAGGACGAAAGGCCCCUCCCGCAGAAGCCGGCGUGGGGCCGUUCCCCUCGUGUCGGUUUUGCCCUCGGGUGACGCCCGGGGAUGCUCGCGGCGUCCCCGAUGCGCCCCAUGGGCGGGGAGGUGGGAAGUGCCCUCUGACAGUGCCAUCGUGAUUAAUUCAGGGCGCAACCCGGUGCUUGGAUCCUGCCCCCUUGGUACUGUGGCCUUUCCUUAAUAGGUGCCGCGGGAAUGUUUUGGGGAAGGAAUCCAGGGUUCGUUUCCCGGACAGCUUUUCCUCAACAGCUCAGCGAAUAUGAAACAGCCUGAACUAUCUGUGCACAUCUCCAGUGUCUUCUUCCGCAGAGGAACUGUUUAUCCUGAACUCCGGGCCAGCGAUUCCAGCCGCUGGUGGUGGGGAUAGCGAUGCCGACACCAAAGCAGCUGUAUCGGUUUCCACCAAGUGGGGAUCCAGCCCUUUACUCAUAUUUUAAAAUUCCGAAACUGUGCCUAGUAUGAAGUUAAACAACCAAAUUGGUGAAGGAUUCAAGAAAAGGCUGAUGAUAGAUGAUCUGCAGCGAUUUACAAGGACAUAAUCCCAUCACGGAGUUCAGAAUGCACCAUACAGUGUGUGAAGAAUUGCUUUGUAUUUAUUUCCAUUCUCUCUAUUCUCACACAACCGAGGGAAAAAAGGUUAAAUGGUUAUUCCCCAGGCUAGAAAGCAGGGGAAAGCAAGAGAGGGAUCAGCAGUGUCAGAUACUCUGACACUCACCUAAAAGCCAAAACAUAUCCUGUGAACUGGCAACCUUGGAAGUCUGUGUAUGGCAGCUUUCAUGUCAGUGCUCCUGCAGCUGGGUGCAGGGCCUCUGCCCACGGAGGCCUUUGGACUCUAGGGAGAAGAAGAAUCCAAGGCAGUAUGAAAAGGUCAUCCUUGAACUCUGGCUUUUGCCUCAAAACAUGGGAAAAACCCUAGAAGCAGGUCUUUCCUCCCAGCAAAGUGUAUGGGACUACACAGUGAUAAGUAUGCUUGUAUGCUGCUGACUGCAGAAGUGCACUCCAGAUCUGGUUUGAAUACCUUCUCCAUCAUGGGACCCCUGCGUGACCAAAGUCUGUCCUGCAGAUCGCCCAGGGGACUGUGUGACUGAUAAGGUUAGCUGUCCUCCUGGCAAUGCAUCCUUCCAGAAGCUGGGGGUGUGUGGCGGACAGAUGAGUGAACUUUUGCCUUAAACAUUUCUUGGUACAUAAGGUGCAAGCAAACCAUAACCCCGAACAAGCCAUCUGUUCCCAGCGGAAACAGGACUGAGCUGCUGCGACCCCCGAAAUGGUCUCCCUGCGACCACCCAGGACACACCGAGCCUGCGCUGAACCAGACCACGAUCGGGCAGAGACUUUGGGACCUGGACUGUAAAUUAUUGCCGUUUAGCACAACUUCUAUAAAACUUGCUUAGCAUGAGUGGCUAAAUUUGCUGAAGCCUUAGGCCGCACUCCCUAGUUUGGUGAGAAAGGGCCCCAGAGCUGGUGCAGGCGGGAACGAUAAGGGAGUUACCAGCAGUUUGCAUUCCUGUGCUUCACACUCCGGCAGGAAGGAUGUCAAGGCUUUGAAGUGAGGCCUGCUUGGGCGCCGGGACCCUGGGGAGCAGGGCCUCCUCUUGCUGUGGAAACAAUGCUGAUUGGGGGGGGGGGGGUCUGGGCUAUCUUGGGGUCCAGAUUAUAUUCUCUUUGUCUGGACCUUGGGAAAUAACACCUACUAUCACUGCUGGGGAAGUAAUAAUUUGUCAGGGCCUUGAGAGAUAAGGGCAGGACCUGAAGAAUGAAAACGCAUCUGUCAGCAGAAACCACAACAGUAAACAACCUACCUAGGGACCCAAUAAGGAGCAGGAGACCCCAGACCUAAAUAUUACUAUUGGUCCAAACUACUGCAUGAAGGGCGGAGGGCUUAGAUUGGAAAGUAUAAUUGCCCAGGGAUUUCUUUGUUCGAGGUCCCUCUUCGGAGGCACCCAACUCGAGCUGUAACUACUGCACACAUGUCAUUACAAUUUAUUUAUUUAAUUUGCCUCGAUUUGGCUCCAAACUUUUCAGCGGGAACCGAGGGUCGGACCUUGCUCGAGUUGUAAUUACUGCACGUGCAUCGCUAAAAUUUACACCCAGGGUGAAGAGGACCAACGGGACGCCGCUGGAUCCACAGGUGGUGAUAUCUCUUUCUCUCUCCGCCUUUCUCUCUCUCCUCCCCUUUGCCUUUCCCCACCUUUUCUCCCCACUCCGUGGAAAAUAAAGUUAAAAGGUUGUACGAUAUUUGACCGGUUUUA
Dromaius novaehollandiae (emu) is the source of this 2443-nucleotide long non-coding RNA. RefSeq lists it as uncharacterized. NCBI's taxonomy places the organism in Eukaryota, Metazoa, Chordata, Aves, Casuariiformes, Dromaiidae. The transcript has 4 exons. The record is from RefSeq and is a predicted model, not a curated record.